AUUUUCCAUUAGUAGGUUUAUUGCUCUCAAGUGUUAGAAAUGUAUCAGACUAACCUGCCACUGUCAGCAUUUUCCUGAAUAUCAGUUAUGCAACUUCACAAGCUAACACAUAACCCUGUCAACUAAAAUGCAUUAUAGACAAGACCUACGCAACUGUAGUGGAAGAUGCAGUCUCCAAUUUAGAAAGAAAUAAAACCAUUUAUAUACAUACUGCAGAUGCUGAACAUGCUGAGUACAGCAGUGUUCACAGUUUCAAUAGCAUGUGUAAGGAAAUAAUAAUAAAAAAAAUUGUCUAUUCUUAGUAGUUUUAAAUGGUGUUUAAGACAGAUGUUCUCCCUACAUGUGAAUAUUUUAGAUGCUUCAAGAGAUUUGCUUUUCAAAAGAAAGAAGAGAUAAUUGGGAGAGAACGACCACAGUCAGCCUCUUUCCAAUGUCAUUGUCAGUUUGAGACAAGAUAUACUUUGGAAAACAAUAUUAAAAACAGUAAGCUCCUCCACAUUGUUGGCAGUUCAGUACAAAAAGCUUCUUUUCACCACUCCAGAAGAAAAGAACACUUUUUAACCAUUUCUCACCCUUUCUGGGGGGGUGAGGGGAGACAGCGGAGCAGGCAUGUCCAUGCCUGAGUGUACAAAAUAUACAUAAUCUUUUAAUUUAAAAAGAAACACUAGAGGGUGAAGGGCAGGGGAUCCUCAGUGGACAUGUCCACCCAUUCUUCCACUUGGGAAUUAACAUUACUAUUUAUUCCACAAAUCCAAACCACAAAUAAAAUCCAGCAGGGAAAUAGGAAAGCAGCCAUGCCAGUGAUAACUGCUCAAUGCAAGAAAUUAAAUAUGUGCAUUCACAUGAAUGCACCAUUUCAUGAAUUGUCCAGAUCUACUUACAAAACACGAGAGACUCUCCCAUUAACACUGCUCAAAGAUUACUGGCAAUAAAUAAGUGAGAGCUAAGCAAAGUUAAAAUAAAGGACUGGAUGUCUGAAAAGACAGUGGGUUUGACACUUUAAAAUGCCAGGCACUUUUGUUCCAACCCUUCUAGUCCCAGAGUUAGCAUAACCAAAAAUUGUAAAACUUAAUAGAAUUGGGGUCCCAGUAUCUAGCACCUUGGAGUAAUAACCCCUGUGAUAGGAAAGUUGCACUGAAUAUCAUAUGAUAAAGAAAACUAAUCAUUCUAAGCCUGAAAAGUUUAUUACAUCUCUUCACCCAGUUCACAGUGGUCAACAAAUAGUGCUCAUGCAACAACUGUCCUGUCAUAGGGAUUGAAGGAGACAGUGUGCUUUGAACCACCAGCAAGGGUCACCAUUAGAAAUAAAAUUCUAGGCUCCGUAGCUAAAUGUUUUUAUCUCUUGUGGAAAGUCCCAUGCCCAAUGGAGUGCUUUAUAAAUAGACUAAGCAAUGAUUAAUGCUAUCUGUUUUAAACAAGUCAGACAACUUAUUCAUUCCUAGAUAGAUUUGGUAUCCAGUCUCAUUAAUUUGCUAAAAAAUUAUGAGUGAAGAUAAAAAUCUUAAAAUUCAAAUAAAGCAAGUUUUUGUACAUGCUCUACAGAUCACAUGUAGAACAAUGUAAAUAACUUCUUGUCAUUAUUUAUAAAGUUUGGAUUAAUCUUCCAAAGCAGAAUUAAUGAUGCUAGCAUGCAUCAGAAACACACCUACAACUUUAUUUCUUCAUCAAAGACAGUUCUAUUAUUAUUUUUUUUUAUUUAGACACAACAGUAUUAAUAAAAUAUAUGUAUGCUACUUCUUCUACAAAUAUAGAAACUACUUAAAAGAACUUUGCAGGCUACAAUUGUAGGCAUUUCUCACUCUAAUUGAGGAAUAAGUAUAGCAGGACAAUUUAAUAACAAUAACCAGUAAUGGUACCAUCUGCAUUCUUCCAUCUUAGUCUGCCAUGGUGUAACUUCUAGAAUAGUUAAUUAGACAAAAAGUUGUGGGGUUUUGUUUUGUUUUGCUUUUUGUUAAUUCAGUUAGAGAUAGCUAUAAAUUUACUGUUUCACAGGCACUUCUGUUCUUAUUUCUCACUAAUACAAAUGCUCCUCUUAUCUUCUUCUAAUAAUAGCCUGACCACUGUCUGCAUUUCAGACAGCUCUUUUAGACAGGGGACAAAUGACAUACUGGCUCUCUCGCUAUGAUUUUUUUUUUGCUAAACAAUAUGAACAGUCUUGUUGCUACAGAAAGUAUACAGCAUGCUAAAUAGCUGUGUGUCUUCCUCCCUCCAAAGAUCUACCGGUAUUUUUAUGUAGGAAAAUAAAUCAUGGACAAAGUGUGCUUUAUGUGCCAGAAUCUAAAGAUUCAGUUUGAAGGAGGAGAGCCAAAGACAAUCAGCAAAUACUUUCACAAAACAUAGUUUUGGGAGAAAGUUUUAAAGAGGAUACUAACUUUUAUUAAACUGAAGAUGCUGACAAAUUUAUUGACCACACUGCUGUCCAAAUAACAGCUACAUGGCUGCAUCUCAUCAGACAUCAUCUUGCAGUUGUACCUCUUAAAUUAUCAACCCCCAGAUAAUGUUAGUAACUCUCAGUUCUCCUUUUCUCCUUGAUGCCGAUGCAAAGACCUUCACUCUUGUUUUUAUGCUCUAAUCUUUUACACUGGAAGGGAAUUUUCAGUUCUCUACCAGUGUUCAACUAACUGCUGGUUGUAGCCCUUUUCAGUUCAAGAAAGACUCUUAAUUCUGCUGCUAUUUAAAAUGGCAAGCAACACUUCUUUCACCUUGGAUUCCAGGCAUGUUCAAACCGUGUCCUUCAGGGUGCAUGUGGCCUACCACAGCUCACAGUUCAGCUCACCUUCUUCCUGCAAUUUAAAGGUGGCAAGCAACCUUGGGCACACAUCCACAUUAUUAACACUGCAUUGACUGAAAGCAGGGCACUGGGAGGGCAGCACUGAGCAGUGCUGACUGAAGUAAUGGCAAAUAACUGUGUGCAUGUUGACACUUGGCUAAACACAAGGCUAUGAACAGAGAUGAAUAUGUAGCCAUGAUUUCCAUGUUGUGAACGGUUUAUGGGCUGGUUCAGCCUGGUUCCAUGACUGGCGAGGCAGAGGGAUUUUGCAAAAUCUGCGCCUCCAGAAAAGGGAAACAGGGGACCCCAAGAUAAUUAAAAACAGUGGCAAUGAUCUGAGGAGAAACAAAUUUACUAAAUACGGUAUCGGAAUGCAAGAUAACAUACUGUAAUACAAUAUAAUUAGAAUUGAAGCUAAUAAAUCAAAUAUAAUGAGAGAAAGAGUAUCUGAAAG
Long non-coding RNA from Gallus gallus (chicken), 3224 nucleotides. The record is from Ensembl. Lineage: Eukaryota; Metazoa; Chordata; Aves; Galliformes; Phasianidae.